GAGUGAAUGUUGUUACACUAGAUUAUUGACAUAAUUUAAUCAAGAACAGUAUUAUUUUACGGGACUCUUAUUUUGAAAACCUUUGUUUUGGAAACUCCACAGUUGUUAAUGGUUAGGUGAUCAUAAAUUUAAUAAUUUGCGUUGUUUUCAAUUCUUCAUACAUGUAUAUUGUUAUUUUUUUUGUAUUACUUUUGGUUUCACUCUUGAUAAAUAUUUUUACACUAAAUUAAGGAAGCACUAUUACGUAAGCUGCGUCAUGCGUGAGGGUAAUGCUGAUGCAAUUUGCGUGCGCGCUCUCUCUUUCGCUGGAUGUUGUGGCGAGAGGCACGGCUAGACCGGAAAUGUCCAAAAUGUGCUUGACUGUGAUCGUGUCUGUUAUUUCUUUUGACACAGACACAGCAAGGCUGAGAGUAAAGAAAAACUAAAGUACAUCACUGUGUGGGAUCUUUUUCUUUAAAAAUCAAACACAACG
Molecule: non-coding RNA, 472 nt
Organism: Pimephales promelas (fathead minnow)
Lineage: Eukaryota; Metazoa; Chordata; Actinopteri; Cypriniformes; Leuciscidae
Source: RefSeq, a predicted model, not a curated record